This is a long non-coding RNA of Orbicella faveolata, 1326 nucleotides long. The record is from RefSeq and is a predicted model, not a curated record. NCBI's taxonomy places the organism in Eukaryota, Metazoa, Cnidaria, Anthozoa, Scleractinia, Merulinidae.
UUCUGUUUUAUUGAUAUAUAUUUUGAUUGCGUUACGUAUUUACAUACAGUAUGCUACAGUAAGCAUAUUUUAAGCGGGGGGAAUGCAGUUAUGAAAGAACAUGUACAAUAUUGCUGUUUCACACAAGUUUUUCAAGCUUCUCAUCGGUUGUAUUAUAUUCAUGGCAUUUGACACAAGAGCUUAGCUAUUUUUUUUUUCCCUUUUCCUGUUUAGUCUCCUCGUCGCCGAAGCAGAAGUCGGAGUCCUUCGCCAAGACGUUCGCAUCGUGAUUACGACAGAACACGAAAGCGAAGCCGAUCUCCAGGCCAUCAUAGACGAAGCCGUUCUCGAUCUCCUCGUCGUCGGCGACGCAGUGCCUCCCCUCAUAGAAGACGCGGGCACAGGAGCCGAAGUCGUUCGCCUCAUCGUCGCCAUUCGAGGUCGCGCUCUCGUUCACGAUCGCCCCAUCGUCGGCGUCACCGAUCCAAAUCGAAGUCCCGAUCAAAGUCGCCGGAGAAAUCGUCGAAGAAGUCGAAGAAAUCCGAAAAAUCUGACAAGAAGAAGGAGAAGGAAAGUGAGAGCACAGGGAUGAGUAAAGAAGAACUGGAGAUCAAAGAAGCAAACGAACUCAGAGCUAAGCUCGGACUCAAGCCGCUUAAGCCUUGAUGACAUACCUUGUCGGUUUGAGACUAAAAUACGGAAACGUUUCCUCAGGAAAAGAUCACUAAGCUGAUCUAUGAUGCUACAAUAAGGCACUGUAGAAAUAAACCAAUCAGAAAUCGUUUCCAGGCUCCGCAGCCUCCGCAGUGUAUGUGGUUUUUGAUGAUUUACUUUUUGUCGUCAAUAAUUUUUGUUUUCAUUGAGUAACAGCGGGAGUAUUGAAAGAGUUAUAAAAGAUUGCAUUGUCUUUUUAUUUUCUUUUGCUCGAGCAGAGCCUGUUUUUCCUCACAUUGCUCUCGUUUUUGUGUGUGUGUGCACUCGCCUUUUAGCGCUUUUUUCUCGACCGCCUGUCGAGAAGAGGUUCUCGCAGUCUAGCUCUAGGCAGUCCUUCGCUUUCACAAGUUUCAUUUGUCAGUGCAAAAUUAAACAACACAGUUCUUUCAAUCUUCUAGUUUAUUUUAUGUUGUAGUUAUGACUUGUAAUUCACGGUGGUCCAAAGAGAAUUCAAAACGCUGGUUGUGUGGUGCAAGAUACGGGCGAUAAGCAUAAGCCAUAAAUGAUUCAAUGAUGGUAGAUUCCGAGAAGAUUCCGUUAAAUGAAACAGGCAAACGCAAGGGUUGGACACCGCACAGCAGUUUUCGUCGUGAGAAAGUUGCGAGAAACGUACUUUCUACAACAACAACAACA